RNAcentral lists this ribosomal RNA (484 nucleotides) under uncultured bacterium. RNAcentral describes it as "partial 16S ribosomal RNA". It matches the Rfam family "Bacterial small subunit ribosomal RNA", at positions 30 to 507 of the family's 1533-position model. The record is from RNAcentral.
AUUGAACGCUGGCGGCAGGCCUAACACAUGCAAGUCGAGCGGAUGAAGGGAGCUUGCUCCUGGAUUCAGCGGCGGACGGGUGAGUAAUGCCUAUGAAUCUGCCUGGUAGUGGGGGAUAACGUCCGGAAACGGGCGCUAAUACCACAUACGUCCUGAGGGAGAAAGUGGGGGAGCUUCGGACCGCACGCUAGCAGAUGAGCCUAGGUCGGAUUAGCUAGUUGGUGGGGUAAAGGCCUACCAAGGCGGGGAUCCGUAACUAGUCUGAUAGGAUGAUCAGUCACACUGGAACUGAGACACGGUCCAGACUCCUACGGUAGGCAGCAGUGGCGAAUAUUGGACAGCGGGCGAAAGCCUGAUCCAGCCAUGCCGCGUGUGUGAAGACGGUCUUCGGAUUGUAAAGCACUUUAAGUUGGGAGGAAGGGCAGUAAGUUAAUACCUUGCUGUUUUGACGUUACCAACAGAAUAAGCACCGGCUAACUUCGUG